AAUUUUUUUUAUUUUACGUCCUCUUGUUUUUAUGUGGAAGAGUAGCUUAUCUGAUGCGUAGAUUGUAGACCACAAAACUGAAGUGGAGACGUCUCCCUCUGAAUAGGACUGAACCGAACGCUGCCAUGUGCAAACGUGCUGCUUCAUUUUUUCGGGACAGUGUUGAUGCUUCAAUGCUAGAGGUGCCUUGUUUUUUGUUUUUUUGUUUUUUUUUAAAUCCGUGCCUAAGAGAUGUAGGUGACAUGCUUGAAGCUGUUCUACUGACACUGAACAUGAAGGACGCUGAUUCUUCGAUAGUAUUUUCACUGGUCGGUGGCUCGCGUUGAAGUUAACAGCUGAUGCACUUUGAUUUCACCUUUGGCGCUUUGACUCGACGCAACUAUCCAGAUUUAACCUGUUAAAGCUUUGUCGUGUGACAAACAAGGUCAUCGCUACCACUACACACACUUAAUCCUGAUGUGUUGUAUUUACAAAAAGACCGUCGAUGGUCAUGCGUCAUUUUUACAGCACUAGAAUGUGUUUGUUUUUGAACCCAGAAUGCAUCUGUCUAUCAGCAAACGUGAAGUAUUUUGUAAAGGAAACCAAAUGUCUACUACUGAAUGACAGAAAAGCCAUCUGUGUGUCCAAAACGAGUAUAGUAGCUUGAAUUAAAUUAUUUUGUUCUCAGCCCAAAUGUAAAUAAUGUUAACUAAAUACUUUUAUUAUUAUUAUUAUGAAGUUGAUUUGUGUUUUCUAUAUACCAUGCGUGUACUCACCUUAACUAUUCAGCCCAUGUUCCCUUUCUGUAAUCAGCAAAGAAUAUAAACUUUCUGCGAAGGUACAACAAAUAAAAAAAAGAAAGAAUUGCUACUAUUAAA
Long non-coding RNA from Rhinichthys klamathensis goyatoka, 857 nucleotides. RefSeq lists it as uncharacterized. The transcript has 2 exons. NCBI's taxonomy places the organism in Eukaryota, Metazoa, Chordata, Actinopteri, Cypriniformes, Leuciscidae. The record is from RefSeq and is a predicted model, not a curated record.